GAACGACCUCCCGCGCCCGGGAGGCAUAAAUACUAUGGGUGGUGGCGAUGAAGCUGUGUCCGCUGCCAGCGACACGACAUCCGCCGAUGGAGUCAAAGUCAACGUCAACAUUCGAUGCUCCAAUGGUUCCAAGUUUUCUGUUCUCGUUAGCCUCGAUUCUACCGUUGGAUCCUUUAAAUCCAUCCUUGCCGACCAGAGCGAGGUUCCCGCCGAUCAGCAGCGCCUGAUUUACAAGGGUCGGAUUUUGAAAGAUGAUCAAACCCUACAAAGCUACGGGUUAGAGGCAGAUCACACCGUACAUUUGGUUCGUGGGUCGGCACCUGCUGCCUCGCCGACCAAUCCUGCAACUGCUCUCAAUGCUGGCGG
Molecule: unclassified non-coding RNA, 366 nt
Filed under: Hevea brasiliensis (rubber tree)
Lineage: Eukaryota; Viridiplantae; Streptophyta; Magnoliopsida; Malpighiales; Euphorbiaceae
Source: RNAcentral